This 465-nucleotide ribosomal RNA is filed under the name uncultured bacterium. RNAcentral describes it as "partial 16S ribosomal RNA". It matches the Rfam family "Bacterial small subunit ribosomal RNA", at positions 28 to 507 of the family's 1533-position model. The record is from RNAcentral.
GACGAACGCUGGCGGCGUGCUUAACACAUGCAAGUCGAACGGAAAGGCCCUGCUUGCAGGGUACUCGAGUGGCGAACGGGUGAGUAACACGUGGGUGAUCUGCCCUGCACUUCGGGAUAAGCUUGGGAAACUGGGUCUAAUACCGGAUAGGAGCCAUCUUAGUGUGGUGGUUGGAAAGUUUUUUCGGUGUAGGAUGAGCUCGCGGCCUAUCAGCUUGUUGGUGGGGUAAUGGCCUACCAAGGCGGCGACGGGUAGCCGGCCUGAGAGGGUGUACGGCCACAUUGGGACUGAGAUACGGCCCAGACUCCUACGGGAGGCAGCAGUGGGGAAUAUUGCACAAUGGGCGCAAGCCUGAUGCAGCGACGCCGCGUGGGGGAUGAAGGCCUUCGGGUUGUAAACUCCUUUCGCUAGGGACGAAGCUUUGUUGUGACGGUACCUAGAUAAGAAGCACCGGCUAACUACGUG